This 1963-nucleotide long non-coding RNA is filed under the name Mus musculus (house mouse). RNAcentral's name for it is "long non-coding RNA chrX:144733794-144735757". The record is from RNAcentral. Lineage: Eukaryota; Metazoa; Chordata; Mammalia; Rodentia; Muridae.
AAUUUGUGAGUGAUAAACUAUAGCACAGUUUUAGAAAUAAUAACUUUGUUAUAUUUAAAUAAGUAAGAAAUAAUGUUAAAAUAUCCACAAGGACCAGGAAAUUAUAAAGGAUUUAAACUAUAGCUAAAUAUAAUCCCUAGAAAUAAAAAUACUAUGUACAAAAUAUUCAACAGAUUAAAACAGAAUUCAGAAGAAAUAGGUAGUAAAAUAUUUUUAUUAGAUAUAUUCUUUAUUUACAUUUCAAAUGUUAUGCCCUUUCCUGGUCUCCCUCCGAAAGCCCCCUUCCCUUAUCCCCUUCCCCCUCCCCCUGCUCCCCAACCCACCCACUCACACUUCCUGGCCCUGGCAUUCCCCUACACUGGGGCAUAGAACCUUCACAGGAUCAAGGGCCUCUCCUCCAAUUGAUGUCGGACAAGGCCAUCCUCUGCUACAUAUGCAUCUAGAGCCUUGAGUCCCACCAUGUGUUUUCUUUGAUUGGUGGUUUAGUCCCAGGGAGCUCUGGGAGUACUGGUUAGUCCAUAUUGUUUUUCCUCCUAUGGGGCUGCAAACCCCUUCAGCUCCUUGGGACAACCUACUUUUUAAUAAGGGUUCAGUCUCUCCUCUUGCCCACCGUCCAGCAGAGGUAGUGGAAGAGAAAAGUUAUUAGGAUAUGGGGGAAUUGGACCUGUUCAACAAUAGUUCUUUGGGGGUGAGCUGGAUCUUCUUGGGCAGUAAUUCAGUCUCAUAGCAAACAACGAAGUAACACUUAGCAGCUGCAGACCAGUCCUCUAGGCAGGCAGACGCCAGGCUGCUGUAGUUUAAUCCUGAAGAAACCGCCAGGCUUGCCAACCGGCUUGAGGCAAGACCAUGGAAGUAGUAACUGCCACAGGAACCUCACGAGCAGUACCUAAGUGAGUUCCUCUCAAUGUCGGAGUUAUCACAAGUUGAGCUCAAUAAUACCAUGUAAGGUGAACCAAUAGAUGCGUGUCUUUAGUGAAAAGAAGCGAGGUGGAGGAAACCAAAUCAAUGCUCAGUGCUUGUCUCCCACUGUCUGUGGGGUCAUAUUUAUACUCCUCCAUCCUGGGUCCUUGCAUGUGUUUGCUAUAACCAACAUUCUUUCACCUGUGUCUGCUUCAGGAAAACAGUCUUUCAUGUGUUUGCUUUAACAAGACAUCUUUUCACCUGUGUGCCCCAGCUAAACAUCAUUUAACAUUAACUUUCCAAAGAACUAGAAGUUUCCACUUCAAUAACCAUUUUGUGAUAUGGAAUCCACAAAACCACAUGUAAAGCAAGGGGCCCAAUAGUGUAACGACCACAAACAUAGAUCUCUAUCAAAAUAUUAACAUAUAGAAUUUGGUAGUAUAUUAAAAUUCUCCAACAUAGGUCAAUGUUAAUACGGUAAUACAUACUUGAUUUCUCAUAAGAGGAAAUAAAUCAAUAUACUUCAUAUUAAAAUUUUAAGGGGAAAAUAUAAAUUUAUUGAAGCAGAUAUUAAAAAGCACUUGACAAAAUUCUACAUGUGUGGUAGAAUUCUAAUUGUGGUGAAGAUAAAAAUAACUAUACUUACUGUUGUUCCCAAAACAACAAUAACAAAAGUUCUUGGACAAAAAGGUUUAUUUAAAGAUAUUUUUUGUCAAUUAAGAAACACGAGUGACACCUAGGAAAUGAAAAACAUGAAACUUAUUGCCUAUGUAUGAGAAUAUUCAACCUAUGUUGUUUUCAAAAGAGGGGAAGUUGGCAGAAAACCUGUAAAGUCAGUAAGUUGAUAGAAUGGAACUGAGAGUGUCCAAGGAAUCAGGACAUCUGGAUUGCAGAAGAGCAGAGGUAGCUGCAUAGAAGUGAACUCUGACUAUUUGCACACCUUUCCCCACUGGUUAGGGAAAACUAAUUAUACAUACUUCUCAAGAUAAGGGAAGGGACAUUUUUUGAAGGCAUACAAAAGGAAAAGAGGAAUAGGAAAAGGAAAAUAAACAAAUUCUCCCGG